Molecule: long non-coding RNA, 2814 nt
Organism: Gossypium raimondii (Peruvian cotton)
Lineage: Eukaryota; Viridiplantae; Streptophyta; Magnoliopsida; Malvales; Malvaceae
Exons: 2
Source: RefSeq, a predicted model, not a curated record
UUUUUUUCUCAUGUUUCUUUUUUUACUAUUAUUUUGAUAUGAAUUUGUCUAUUUUUUUUUUGUGGACUUGUCAAUGUUGCGUUGAUAUAAAUUCCCGCUUAUUUUUCAUGAGUAUAAUUUGGAGUAUAAACUGGAUAUCAUUAACUUAUUGGAGACUAGAGUUAGUAGUACAGAAGCUGAUAACAUAAUUGCCAAAUUGGGAUCCAUUUUUCUCACCAAAUGGAAGCAAUUGGAUUUUUCAUGGGGAAUUUGGGUAGGUUGGAAGGACUCAGUUAGUGUUGAGGUUAUUCAUAGCCAUCCACAAGUUCUUCUGGUUCGGGUCCUUGGUCAGUCUCUUUGCCAACCUAUCCUCAUUGUUUUUGUUUAUGGCAGUCUUGACAGAAAAAGAAAAGGAAAUUGCUCUAGGAAGGGUUAAAUGCUACUAUGCCUCUAGGGGUGCUCAUUGGCUCGCUAUUGGGGACUUCAAUGCAAUCUUGUUUGGCUGUGAAAAGAGAGGGGGACGGGUUAAAGGGAAAAAUUGCUCUCUAUUUGGUAGUUUUAUGGACUCUACCACUUUACAUGAUUUGGGCUUUAGAGGCCUGUCCUUCACUUGGUGUAGAGGGGGGACUUUUGAGAGGUUAGAUAGAACUAUUAGGAAUGAUGCUUGGCUGAAUAUAUUCCCUAAUAGUUUGGUUACUCAUCUUUCAAGGCUUAAGUUUGACCAUAGACCACUUUUCUUAUCUUUGAGAUCGAAUCUUUGAACUCCCAAGGAGAAACCUUUUAGACUUUUAGUUGGUUGGUUGGAGCACCUGAGGUUUCCAAACUUUGUUAAAGAUCAGUGGGAUUUUAAUGAAAAUUUAGCAAAUUCUCUCUCCUAUCUUUCGAGUGAUCUCAAGAAGUGGAAUACAUCUGUUUAUAGACAUUUUGAAACUCUUAAAAGGUAUCUGGUGAAUAAGCUGUCUAGCAUUCAAAGGAAGAUGGAGUUAACUAAUUCUAGUAUGCUCAUCCAGUCUAAGAUGGAGACUUGUGAAGAAUUGGAAAGUGUUCUUCAUCAUGAGGAGAUCCUUUGGAAAAAGAAGUCUAAAUGUGAGUGGCUGAAUUUGGGGGACUGGAACACCAAGUUUUUCUAUUGUAGGACUUUACAAAGAAGAAAAUAGAAUCGUAUUACUACUUUGAAAGGAGAAAAUGAUGAAUGGAUUUAUGAUACUAAAGCCCUUCAACUAGAAGCCAUCAAGUUUUUCCAAAAGUUAUAUGGCGAGUAACCUGAACCAUGAGAAAUCUGCCUCCAAGUUCCUUUCCUAACCUUGAAGAUUGUGAUAUUCACUUCUGGGAAAGGAGGUGACAAAUGAUGAAAUAAAAGCAGCACUUUUUGAUAUGGCUCCUUUGAAGGCUCUGGGGAGUGAUGGUUUUCAGGCAAUGUUCUUCCAGAAUCAAUGGGACUUAACUGGACUAGGAAUUUUAGAGUGGGUUAAAUUGAUCUUUGCUAGUAAAGGUAUUGAGUCGAAAUUAAAGAAUACUCUAUUAGUCCUCAUACCUAAAGUUCCUGGUCCUAAGAAUUUCUCUCAAUUCCACCCUAUUAGCCUCUAUUCAGUGAUGUACAAAUUGGUGAUGAAGAUUAUUGUUAAUCGGUUUAAAAUGGUGUUUCUUAAUAAUGCUGGUCAGGAACAAGCAAGUUUUAUUCCAGAACGUAAUAUUACUGAUAAUAUCCUUAUUGUUCAAGAGGUCAUUCGUUCGUUGAGAAGCAAGCAUAAGAAUAGAAAUUGGAUUGCUGUCAAAAUUGAUAUUGAAAAAGCUUAUGACAGAGUUCAUUAGGAGUUUAUUGAGGUUUCUCUUCGAGCUACAGGUAUUUCUAAAAUUCUUAUUAAUGUUAUAAUGUUUGCUAUCAUGAAUUCUACUAUUUAGGUACUUUGGAAUGGGAGCCCAACAUUGAAGUUUAGACCAGUGAGGGGCAUUCAUCAUGGAUCGCCGUAUUUGUUUUUAUUGUGCAUGGAAUAGCUUGGACAUAUCAUUUGUCAUACCAGUGAUGGUGAUCAUUGUAGGCCUAUCAUUUAUCAAGAUUUGGCCCGUUUCUAUCACACAUUUUCUUUGCAAAUGAUCUUAUCAUUUUUGGACAUGCAGAUCUUCAACAAAGUAUGGUCCUUAGAAGUCUCUUAGAAAGAUUCUGAAGGAAUUGCCUAAGCAACAGUCACUAGGGCCAGCAGACCAGAUGCCAGAGAAUUCAAUUAGCCUUUGUACUGAUGGUGCGGUUCAAGUAGAAUUUGGAAAGUCUGCAGCAGGAGGAGUCUUGAGAAAUGGAAACAUGGAAUGGAUUAUGGGGUAUUCUUGAAACUAGGAGUAUGUUUUGUCUUAGAUGCUAAACUAUGGGGUAUUCUUGAUGGUUUGAAACUUAUCCAAGAUAGAAAAUAUGUCGGAGUUAUGAUUCAAACGGAUAGUUUGGAGACAGUCAAGGCCAUUCAGGAAUCUUCUCUGACGAAUUCAAGCUCUGCCCUUAUUAGGCGUAUUCAUUAUAUAUUGGUGAAUAUAGGAUUAUGGGAGUUGCAACAUAUUCCUAGGGACUAUAAUAAAAUUGUUGAUUGCAUAGCUAAAAUGACCUUUGAUAUGAACCAUAGUCUGAAGGUGUUUAUAGAGAUUCCAAGGGAGGUGCUAGCUAUCUUUAUUGUUGUUCAAGCAAGAGAUAAUUUUGCUCAAAAUUUUCUUGUGUAAUUAGUUUAAUUGCCAACUUGUUUUUCUUUUUACCAAAAAAAUAUAGUAUUUAUUGAACCAAAACUUUUCCAACAAAUUGUAACUUUUUUAAGGAUUUAGUAAUGUUAAGUAUGACUCCUAUUUUCAGUCAAA